This 418-nucleotide ribosomal RNA is filed under the name bacterium enrichment culture clone ALO1_GLFRUDD03GI2ZX. RNAcentral's name for it is "bacterial SSU rRNA". It matches the Rfam family "Bacterial small subunit ribosomal RNA", at positions 9 to 429 of the family's 1533-position model. The record is from RNAcentral.
GAGUUUGAUCAUGGCUCAGAUUGAACGCUGGCGGCAUGCCUUACACAUGCAAGUCGAACGGCAGCACGGGAGCUUGCUCCUGGUGGCGAGUGGCGAACGGGUGAGUAAUGCAUCGGAACGUAUCCUGGAGUGGGGGAUAACGUAGCGAAAGUUACGCUAAUACCGCAUAUUCAGUGAGCAGGAAAGCGGGGGACCUUCGGGCCUCGCGCUCUUGGAGCGGCCGAUGUCGGAUUAGCUAGUUGGUGAGGUAAAGGCUCACCAAGGCGACGAUCCGUAGCAGGUCUGAGAGGAUGAUCUGCCACACUGGAACUGAGACACGGUCCAGACUCCUACGGGAGGCAGCAGUGGGGAAUUUGGACAAUGGGGGCAACCCUGAUCCAGCCAUGCCGCGUGAGUGAAGAAGGCCUUCGGUUGUAAG